RNAcentral lists this ribosomal RNA (882 nucleotides) under uncultured archaeon. RNAcentral's name for it is "bacterial SSU rRNA". It matches the Rfam family "Archaeal small subunit ribosomal RNA", at positions 18 to 908 of the family's 1478-position model. The record is from RNAcentral.
CAGAGGCUAUUGCUAUAAGGUUUUGACUAAGCCAUGCGAGUCGAGAGGUGAAAGACCUCGGCAUACUGCUCAGUAACACGUGGAUAAUCUGCCCUCAGGUGAGGAAUAAUCCCGGGAAACUGGGGCUAAUGCCUCAUAGGAGACGGGUGCUGGAAUGCUCUGUCUCCGAAAGGUCCGCCGCCUGAGGAUGAGUCUGCGUCCGAUUAGGUUGUUGUUGGGGUAACGGCCCAACAAGCCUUUGAUCGGUACGGGUUGUGGGAGCAAGAGCCCGGAGAUGGAUUCUGAGACAUGAAUCCAGGCCCUACGGGGCGCAGCAGGCGCGAAAACUUUACAAUGCGAGCAAUCGUGAUAAGGAAACCCUGAGUGCCUGUCAAUGCAGGCUGUUCUGGUGUCUAACACACACCAGGAGAAAGGGCGGGGCAAGACCGGUGCCAGCCGCCGCGGUAAUACCGGCUGCUCGAGUGAUAGCCACUUUUACUGGGCUUAAAGCGUUCGUAGCUUGGUCGUUAAGUCUCUGGGGAAAUCUUUUGGCUCAACCAAAAGGCGUCUCAGGGAAACUGACGAUCUUGGAACCGGGAGAGGUAAGACGUACUUCGGGGGUAGGAGUGAAAUCUUGUAAUCCCCGAGGGACGACCGAUGGCGAAGGCAUCUUACCAGAACGGCUUCGACAGUGAGGGACGAAAGCUGGGGGAGCAAACCGGAUUAGAUACCCGGGUAGUCCCAGCCGUAAACGAUGUGCGUUAGGUGUGUCAGUGACCACGAGUCGCUGAGGUGCCGAAGGGAAACCGUGAAACGCACCGCCUGGGAAGUACGGUCGCAAGGCUGAAACUUAAAGGAAUUGGCGGGGGAGCACCACACCGGGUGGAGCCUGCGGUUUAAUUG